This is an RNA transcript of Cannabis sativa, 1318 nucleotides long. It is a transcript of the gene named coatomer subunit beta'-1-like, with no coding region annotated. The transcript is spliced from 6 exons. NCBI's taxonomy places the organism in Eukaryota, Viridiplantae, Streptophyta, Magnoliopsida, Rosales, Cannabaceae. The record is from RefSeq and is a predicted model, not a curated record.
UUAAAAAAAGAUAGAUAUUUCACCGAAUGAUUUUUUUUAUUUAAUAAAAUUAAUUAUUUUAAACUAUCAUAAUUUAAUUUUGUAAAGUUUGAAUUUAUUGGGUAUUUAUGUAAUAAAAGUGAUUUAAAAUGGGCCUUAGAAUUGAGAGGAGCCCAUAUUGACACAGUUCUUCUUCUUCGUCUUCUUCCUUCUUAUCCAAACGCCAUACUUACUUACCUUACUUCAAUUCAAACCAGAGACAGAGAGAUAACCAACAACAACAACAACCACUCUCUUCUCAUUACCAACCUCAACAAUGGCUGCUUCCACUCGAAUUCCCUUUCCAAAAGCGGACUCAUCAUCAUCAUCCAUUAGAGUUUCUCUAAAGACCAAUGGUUGCGGUGUUUCCGACCUUGGGUUCGUCACUUCGGAGCUCAGUGGAGUCAAAAUCUCUAAAGUUGACUCCUUUCAACCUGUCCGACCCAUCUUCACCAAAUUCUCUCCUGCUCUUCAACCUGUUGCUCGAAAAUCAGCAAGCACUGAAAUUUGAGAUGGAAUUUGCUCAAAACUCUGAGAGAGUCAAAUCAGUAGAUGUGCAUCCAACUCAUCCAUGGAUUCUAACAAGUUUAUAUAGUGGAAAUGUUACUCUAUGGAACCACCAAUCCCAAGCAAGGGCCCAAAAAUGGACAAUUCUCUAAUUUCCAAACUUAUUGAGAUCAGCAAAGUUCAUAGCUAGCAAAAAUUGGAUUGUAACUGGCUCUGAUGACGGAUUCAUUCGCGUUUACAAUUAUAAAACAAUGGAGAAAAUCAUAGAGGUUGAAGCACACAAAGACUUCAUUAGAUGUGUUGUUGUCCAUUUUGGCUUGAAAAUACUUUUAAUUAUGAUCUUGGAAGAGUUUGGGCCGUUGAAUCCAUCAAAGGAAUAAAUCACUAAGCUUAUUUGCUUAUUUUUAAAAAUUUCCAAAUUAUUUAUUCAUCUUCUUACUUUUAUUGUGUGAUCAUAUAUGUACUAACAUUACUUUUUCUUUUAGGGUUGUCUUUGGUUUUGACAAAGGAUUUUGCAUUGUCAAGAUAAUGAAAGGUGAAGAUUCUGUAUUAAGUGGUCAAACCUAAAAGAGUGUCAUGAUAAAAAAUAAAUGAAAAUAAGCUAAUUUCAAAGUUGACUUGAACUUAGUAUAUAUGUUGUUUUUUGAUAAGUUAUGUAAAACAAAUAAUAUUCUCAAUUUUUUUUUAAUGUGUGUUCAUUGUAAUAAUCUUCCAUGAAAAGCUACAAUUUUUAUUUGUUCAAACUAAUAUGGCUUUUUCAUAUAUUUAAAUUAAAAACAAUUACCAAGUUUUA